GCCUCGGGGGCCGGGUGGCGCCGCCUGGCCUCCCGCCCCGGCGCCGCCUGCUCUAACCGCUUCGGGCGCGGCGGCAGCGGUUUGGCGCUGCCUGGAGCCCCGGGUCUCGGUUCCUGCAAAAUACGUUCAAGGAGAAUGCCUGCAGCUGAGCAGAGAAUUUAACCUAAGCUUCCUGGCAACUCAAGGAAAAGAAGAACACAAGAAAGAAACUGAAUAAAGUAGAACAGAAUGGAAACAACUAGAAAACAAAUAGAGCACAGGCCAAGGUGGCAGGAGGGAGACCAAAUACAGACGACAAUGAGUAUAAAUGGGUUCUUCUCUAAGAAAAAGGAAAAAAUGGAAUCCAGUGAUCAGCUGCUUACAAGUCAGGCCCGUAACAUGGCGAUGGAGACAGCAUACAAACUAAUGCCUCUCAGGCCACACAGCCUAUGGAAGCCUAAGGAAGCGGUAUCCCAGUGUUCCCAUCAGCCCAUGGUACACAUCUUCCUCUGUCCAAUCAGCCUGGGCCCUGAGGGUCACGUGCUACAAAACAUGGCUGCCUCAGAAACAGCAUGGGACGUCUUUCCUGGGUGGUUCUCCUUAGACGCAAAGACUCAGCACACCUUGGCUUUUUCCUCCGUUCCAUUCAAGAAAAACACUUCCAACAUGGAGAUCAGAGUGGAUUUCUCUCAGCCCCACUCAGCCCCAAAGUAUGUGAACAAAGAAGCUGUGGCCCUGGUUACUGUGGAAGGAAUCUUGUGACCCUGAGAGAGGGCUGCUGGAAGACACAGAGCAGGGAGGAGAGCGGAACAGAGAGGAUCUGUAAGGAAUGGGCAGGAGCCCUGUUUGCUAUGCAGCCAUUCUGCCAUCCGCCCUCUACUACACUGUAUCCUGAGCUUCCCUAAGAAGAGGCAUCCAUCAGCACUCUUUUCUGAGUUUUUGAUUCAGAACCAUAACUAGGCAAGAAUUUAGCACCUUGCAUAGGCCAGUUUCAGCAUUUCCACCAACUGAGCCUUUUCCAGUGAUUUAGACCAAAUCCUUCACACUAGGUGCAUGAAUGAAACUUCUCUCCAACAACACUCAGUUAGAAGAUAACUAGACAGAGCUUGCAAAGACAAAGUUGCUAACAGAAAAUGGGGCAAUCCUUGUAGAUCUGAAGCCGUCGGAGCAGGGCCGCAUGCAAUGAACCGGUGAUCCGUAAUCCAUGCAGUCUGCAGCACAGAUGUGGGUGAAGUCUUCCCUCAGUUCCUCGAAGUUUGAGCCUCUUCACUGACCAGCUCAUUACCUAGCAGCAGGCUUCUCCUAGUGCAAAUGAUCCAACUGAGACAAGUGUGUAUUCAAGAUGGAAGCUGCAGCAUUUUUAUAACUGAAUCUUGGCAAUGACAUCUCAUCACUUUUCUGUGUUUUACUCAUUAAAAGUGAGUCUCUAAGUCCAGUCUGUGUUCAAGGGGAGGAGAAUGAAGUACAUGUUUGAA
This 1454-nucleotide long non-coding RNA is filed under the name Heterocephalus glaber (naked mole-rat). RNAcentral describes it as "lncRNA (ENSHGLG00000045179.1)". Lineage: Eukaryota; Metazoa; Chordata; Mammalia; Rodentia; Bathyergidae. The record is from RNAcentral.